UCCAGGGUAGCCUAGUGGACAUGGCAUCUGCCCGGUAUUCGGAACAUUGUGGGUUCGAUUCCCAUCCCUGGAC
Cordylochernes scorpioides is the source of this 73-nucleotide non-coding RNA. The record is from the annotation of a GenBank genome assembly. Lineage: Eukaryota; Metazoa; Arthropoda; Arachnida; Pseudoscorpiones; Chernetidae.